AUACGGAGGAUCCGAGCGUUAUCCGGAUUUAUUGGGUUUAAAGGGUGCGCAGGCGGCCAUUUAAGUCAGCGGUUAAAUCGUGGGGCUCAACCCCAUUCUGCCGUUGAUACUGGGUGGCUUGAUUGCGGUCGAGGUUGGCGGAAUUCGUUGUGUAGCGGUGAAAUGCAUAGAUAGGACGAAGAACACCGAUUGCGUAGGCCGGUGAACAGGACGCAAAAGGAGCUCAUGCCCGAAAGUGUGGGGAUCGAACAGGAUUAGAUACCCUGGUAGUCCGCACAGUAAACGAUGAAUACUUGUUUUCGGCGAUAUAAUGUCGGAGGCAAAGCGAAAGCGAUAAGUAUUCCACCUGGGGAGUACGCCGGCAACGGUGAAACUUAAAGGAAUUGACGGGG
Molecule: ribosomal RNA, 392 nt
Filed under: uncultured bacterium
Lineage: Bacteria
Description: partial 16S ribosomal RNA
Rfam family: Bacterial small subunit ribosomal RNA
Source: RNAcentral